CGAAGGGUGCAAGCGUUACUCGGAAUUACUGGGCGUAAAGCGUGCGUAGGUGGUUCGUUAAGUCUGAUGUGAAAGCCCUGGGCUCAACCUGGGAAUGGCAUUGGAUACUGGCGACCUAGAGUGCGGUAGAGGGUGGCGGAAUUCCCGGUGUAGCAGUGAAAUGCGUAGAUAUCGGGAGGAACAUCCGUGGCGAAGGCGGCCACCUGGACCAGCACUGACACUGAGGCACGAAAGCGUGGGGAGCAAACAGGAUUAGAUACCCUGGUAGUCCACGCCCUAAACGAUGCGAACUGGAUGUUGGGUGCAACUUGGCACUCAGUAUCGAAGCUAACGCGUUAAGUUCGCCGCCUGGGGAGUACGGUCGCAAGACUG
This 372-nucleotide ribosomal RNA is filed under the name uncultured organism. RNAcentral describes it as "bacterial SSU rRNA". It matches the Rfam family "Bacterial small subunit ribosomal RNA", at positions 526 to 896 of the family's 1533-position model. The record is from RNAcentral.